Molecule: non-coding RNA, 872 nt
Organism: Pelobates cultripes (western spadefoot toad)
Lineage: Eukaryota; Metazoa; Chordata; Amphibia; Anura; Pelobatidae
Source: the annotation of a GenBank genome assembly
CCCACUUUACUUCCCUCCCCUCUCUAUUCAUUCUAUGCACUCUACAUAUACAUUUCCAGCCUAUCUCCACCAACCCUUUCUAAAACCGCUAAAUACAAACCCUUUCACAAAACUUUUAAAUCCUACUCCCAACUUCUCGUACUUUCAAUCAUUCUACUCCUAGCAGCUGGUGAUGUCUCUCCAAAUCCCGGUCCCACCUCCGCAAACCCACCAUUUGCUAACUCCAGGAAUCACAAUAAUCUCAAACCCAUCUCAUGUCACUCUUCCUUUAAAUCCUCCUUCCAUACUGCCCUCUGGAAUGCACGCUCUGUUUGCUGUGUUACUAAAUCCACUGCUGUGCACAACCUUUUCAUCUCUCGUUCCCUAGACUUCCCAGCCUUAAUAGAAACAUGGCUCUCUCCCUCUGACACCGAUACCCCUGCCUCUCUAUCCUUUGGUGGUCUUCAAUUUUCCCACAACCCAAGACACUCUAAAAGCAAAGGUGGUGGUGUAGGGUUUCUGCUCUCACCUCACUGCUCCUUUAAACCUCUACCCACACCCCUUCCCUCUCUUUCUCCUUAUUUGGAUUUCAUUCAAUUUGCCUUUUCAAACCCAUCUCUGCUAAUAUUACAGUUAUCUAUUGUCCCCUCCCCCUGGAUCCCCUCUUUCCUCUUCCUUGACCACGUUUCUGCUUGGCUUCCCUACUUCCUCUCCUCUAAGAUUCCAUCCCUAACUUCAACAUUCCCAUUAACCUACCCUUCUUCUCAAUAGCCUCAAAACUACUUCCCUUCGGCUAUCACAGUGAGCUAAGUCCGCCACCCAUGUAGCUGGCCAGGACCGGACAGGGAAAAACAUUUGGCCCGGGUAUUUAAAGGCAGAGCAGCCCAGUAGGG